UGAGGAAUAUUGGUCAAUGGGCGAGAGCCUGAACCAGCCAUCCCGCGUGCAGGAUGACGGCCCUAUGGGUUGUAAACUGCUUUUCUGCUCCAAGAAACCUGAUUACGUGUAAUCAGUUGACGGUAGAGUAGGAAUAAGCAUCGGCUAACUCCGUGCCAGCAGCCGCGGUAAUACGGAGGAUGCAAGCGUUAUCCGGAUUCAUUGGGUUUAAAGGGUGCGCAGGUGGGAAUGUAAGUCAGUGGUGAAAUACUGCCGCUUAACGGUAGAGCUGCCAUUGAUACUGCGUUUCUUGAGUAUGGUUGAGGUAGGUGGAAUGUGUUGUGUAGCGGUGAAAUGCAUAGAUAUGACACAGAACGCCGAUUGCGAAGGCAACUUACUAAGCCAUUACUGACGCUGAGGCACGAAAGCGUGGGUAGCGAACAGG
RNAcentral lists this ribosomal RNA (424 nucleotides) under uncultured Bacteroidales bacterium. RNAcentral's name for it is "bacterial SSU rRNA". It matches the Rfam family "Bacterial small subunit ribosomal RNA", at positions 355 to 776 of the family's 1533-position model. Lineage: Bacteria; Pseudomonadati; Bacteroidota; Bacteroidia; Bacteroidales. The record is from RNAcentral.